This 506-nucleotide ribosomal RNA is filed under the name uncultured bacterium. RNAcentral's name for it is "partial 16S ribosomal RNA". It matches the Rfam family "Bacterial small subunit ribosomal RNA", at positions 29 to 523 of the family's 1533-position model. The record is from RNAcentral.
AGUGAACGCUGGCGGUAGGCCUAACACAUGCAAGUCGAACGGCAGCACAGGAGAGCUUGCUCUCUGGGUGGCGAGUGGCGGACGGGUGAGGAAUACAUCGGAAUCUACUCUGUCGUGAGGGAUAACGUAGGGAAACUUACGCCAAUACCGCAUACGACCUACGGGUGAAAGCAGGGGACCUUCGGGCCUUGCGCGAUUGAAUGAGCCGAUGUCGGAUUAGCUAGUUGGCGGGGUAAAGGCCCACCAAGGCGACGAUCCGUAGCUGGUCUGAGAGGAUGAUCAGCCACACUGGAACUGAGACACGGUCCAGACUCCUACGGGAGGCAGCAGUGGGGAAUAUUGGACAAUGGGCGCAAGCCUGAUCCAGCCAUACCGCGUGGGUGAAGAAGGCCUUCGGGUUGUAAAGCCCUUUUGUUGGGAAAGAAAUCCAGCUGGCUGAUACCCGGUUGGGAUGACGGUACCCAAAGAAUAAGCACCGGCUAACUUCGUGCCAGCAGCCGCCGUAA